This 606-nucleotide ribosomal RNA is filed under the name Triticum aestivum (bread wheat). RNAcentral describes it as "partial small subunit ribosomal RNA". Lineage: Eukaryota; Viridiplantae; Streptophyta; Magnoliopsida; Poales; Poaceae. The record is from RNAcentral.
AUGGCGCCGCCGCGUCUGCUGCGGGGCCUCAUCGCGCCGCUGUCGCCGUGCCACCAGCAGCUGCUGACCUCCGCCGCCCUCCUGCACCGCUGGUGGCUGGCGCGCCUCCGCUGCUCCGACGGAUUCAAGCUCUUCCUCGUCGUCCUCCUCGUCUCCGCCGCCCUCGCCGAGGUCCGCUACGUCGCCUCCGCGUCCAUGGCGCCCACCCUCCGCACCGGCGACCGCGCCGUCGCAGAAAAGGUGAGCUACAUGUUCCGGCGGCCGUCUGUGGGCGACAUUGUCUUCUUCAGGGUGCCCACGGCGCUGCAGAACUGCGGCAUAAAUAAGGAUGUUGUAUUUGUUAAGAGGGUUAUUGCCACCCCUGGAGAUUUCAUCCAGGUUCGACAAGGCCAGCUUAUUGUUAACGGUGUUGCGCAGAACGAACACUACACCGCACCCCAUGCGUCGUCGUACACGAUGGAAGCCAUGCGCCUCCCUCAAGGCCAUGUGUUCGCCAUGGGUGAUAACCGUAAUACCAGCUGUGAUUCUCGUGCCUGGGGACCUCUUCCUAUCAGCAACAUUCUUGGGAGAUACAUGAUGUCCUUCACAAGGUCGUCCCUCCAAUAA